CCUACGGGUGACAGCAGUGAGGAAUAUUGGUCAAUGGACGCGAGUCUGAACCAGCCAAGUAGCGUGAAGGAUGACUGCCCUAUGGGUUGUAAACUUCUUUUGUAUGGGGGUAAACCGUUCCACGUGUGGCCUUUUGUAUGUACCAUAUGAAUAAGGAACGGCUAACUCCGUGCCAGCAGCCGCGGUAAUACGGAGGAUCCGAGUGUUAUUCGGAUUUACUGGGUUUAAAGGGAGCGUAGGGGGAUUGUUAAGUCAGUUGUGAAAGUUUGUGGCUCAACCGGAGAAUUGCAGUUGAAACUGGCAGGCUUGAGUACAGUAGAGGGGGGUGGAAUUCGAGGUGUAGCGGUGAAAUGCGUAGAGAUCACGAAGAACUCCGAUUGCGAAGGCAGUUCACUGGACAGCAACCGACGCUGAGGCGCGAAAGUGUGGGUAGCAAACAGGAUUAGAUACCCGAGUAGUC
This 460-nucleotide ribosomal RNA is filed under the name uncultured bacterium. Its description in RNAcentral is "partial 16S ribosomal RNA". It matches the Rfam family "Bacterial small subunit ribosomal RNA", at positions 338 to 795 of the family's 1533-position model. The record is from RNAcentral.